Molecule: long non-coding RNA, 1254 nt
Organism: Oncorhynchus mykiss (rainbow trout)
Lineage: Eukaryota; Metazoa; Chordata; Actinopteri; Salmoniformes; Salmonidae
Source: Ensembl
UGUUUACUGUUCAUUUCUGAUCGUUGUUCUCCUUCACCUGUGUUCAUUGUUUUCCUUUUUUUUUUGCUUUGGCAAUGUAACCAUUCAGAGUUUGAACACACCUACUCAUUCAAGGGUUCUGGUCUAAAGACCGGGAAGACACAACCACAAGGCUCUGAGUCAGGCUGCUGUCCAGAGACCAGGAAGACACAACCACAAGGCUCUGAGUCAGGCUGCUGUCCAGAGACCAGGAAGACACAACCACAAGGCUCUGAGUCAGGCUGCUGUCUAAAGACCAGGAAGACACAACCACAAGGCUCUGAGUCAGGCUGCUGUCUAAAGACCAGGAAGACACAACCACAAGGCUCUGAGUCAGGCUGCUGUCUAAAGACCAGGAAGACACAACCACAAGGCUCUGAGUCAGGCUGCUGUCCAAAGACCAGGAAGACACAACCACAAGGCUCUGAGUCAGGCUGCUGUCCAGAGACCAGGAAGACACAACCACAAGGCUCUGAGUCAGGCUGCUGUCCAGAGACCAGGAAGACACAACCACAAGGCUCUGAGUCAGGCUGCUGUCCAGAGACCAGGAAGACACAACCACAAGGCUCUGAGUCAGGCUGCUGUCCAGAGACCAGGAAGACACAACCACAAGGCUCUGAGUCAGGCUGCUGUCUAAAGACCAGGAAGACACAACCACAAGGCUCUGAGUCAGGCUGCUGUCUAAAGACCAGGAAGACACAACCACAAGGCUCUGAGUCAGGCUGCUGUCUAAAGACCAGGAAGACACAACCACAAGGCUCUGAGUCAGGCUGCUGUCUAAAGACCAGGAAGACACAACCACAAGGCUCUGAGUCAGGCUGCUGUCUAAAGACCAGGAAGACACAACCACAAGGCUCUGAGUCAGGCUGCUGUCUAAAGACCAGGAAGACACAACCACAAGGCUCUGAGUCAGGCUGCUGUCUAAAGACCAGGAAGACACAACCACAAGGCUCUGAGUCAGGCUGCUGUCCAAAGACCAGGAAGACACAACCACAAGGCUCUGAGUCAGGCUGCUGUCUAAAGACCAGGAAGACACAACCACAAGGCUCUGAGUCAGGCUGCUGUCUAAAGACCAGGAAGACACAACCACAAGGCUCUGAGUCAGGCUGCUGUCUAAAGACCAGGAAGACACAACCACAAGGCUCUGAGUCAGGCUUCUGUGCAAAGACCAGGAAGACACAACCACAAGGCUCUGAGUCAGGCUGUUGUCCAAAUGGACCCCUGUUACCUUUAUAG